RNAcentral lists this ribosomal RNA (531 nucleotides) under uncultured bacterium. RNAcentral describes it as "bacterial SSU rRNA". It matches the Rfam family "Bacterial small subunit ribosomal RNA", at positions 777 to 1304 of the family's 1533-position model. The record is from RNAcentral.
AAUAGAUACCCCGGUAGUCCACGCCGUAAACGAUGAGUGCUAAGUGUUAGAGGGUUUCCGCCCUUUAGUGCUGCAGCUAACGCAUUAAGCACUCCGCCUGGGGAGUACGGCCGCAAGGCUGAAACUCGAAAGGAAGUUGACGGGGGCCCGCACAAGCGGUGGAGCAUGUGGUUUAAUUCGAAGCAACGCGAAGAACCUUACCAGGUCUUGACAUCCUCUGCCGACCCUAGAGAUAGGGCGUUCCCCUUCGGGGGACAGAGUGACAGGUGGUGCAUGGUUGUCGUCAGCUCGUGUCGUGAGAUGUUGGGUUAAGUCCCGCAACGAGCGCAACCCUUGAUCUUAGUUGCCAGCAUUCAGUUGGGCACUCUAAGGUGACUGCCGGUGACAAACCGGAGGAAGGUGGGGAUGACGUCAAAUCAUCAUGCCCCUUAUGACCUGGGCUACACACGUGCUACAAUGGAUGGUACAAAGAGCAGCGAACCCGCGAGGGUAAGCCAAUCUCAUAAAGCCAUUCUCAGUUCGGAUUGUAGG